AGUGGAGACAUUUCCAAAUCACAACAUGUCUCCUUUAGCUCUUCUGCUGCUGCUGGCAGCUGGAUCCUGUGUGAUUUGUGAACAGCUGACACAGCCGGACUCUGUAAAUGUGCAUCCAGGUCAGCCUCUCACCAUCACCUGUCAGGUAUCUUAUUCUGUUACGAGCUACUGGACCUGCUGGAUCCGACAGGCAGCAGGGAAGGGACUGGAGUGGUUUGGAUGCAGAGUUGGCUCAUCUACAUCCUACAAAGAUUCACUGAAAAAUAAGUUCAGUAUUGACAUAGAUUCCUCCAGGAACACAGUGACUCUUAAAGGCCAGAACAUGCAGUCUGAAGACACUGCUGUGUAUUUCUGUGCAAGAGACCGCACCAUAACACAAAACAUCAGACGACCAAACAAAAUCCCCUGAGGUCUCAAAGACACCAGAGGGGGAGCCCUCCCUUCAAAUAAACCAACGUAUGCCUCAGCUUAGGAAAAUUAGAAAAGAAAGUGAUAGCACAUAUGAAAAUUGCAAAUAUUUACAGCCAUAUAAUUUGCUGAUAAAAAGAAGCAUGCAAAUAAGUUAUAUGUUUCAAACAGUUUGUCUUUUGGUGCAGAAUUUGCUUUUAGUUCUCUCUUAUUGCAGGGACGAUUUACAGCGGGAGUGCUUUAGUGUUAGGCUUGACACAAGCAUUUUGCCCCCUUAAUUAUUUUAAAAGAAAAAGUUAUUUACUUAUGUAAAGAAAAUAUUUAACUUGAUAAAGAUACAUAGUCAUGUUAAAAAGGUUUU
Non-coding RNA from Xiphophorus maculatus (southern platyfish), 769 nucleotides. The record is from the annotation of a RefSeq genome assembly. Lineage: Eukaryota; Metazoa; Chordata; Actinopteri; Cyprinodontiformes; Poeciliidae.